GCCGUGAUUUAUUCGCUCAUUUUCGCCCGAUUAUGGUUUCUCAACUGGCCAGCACUUUGGAAGGAGAAUACAUGGGCGGUAACUUAGUUUCUCUAAGCUUUUCUGCUUCUGUUUCCUUCUCAUUUUCUUUUAAAGACUAUUUCAAAAUGUCUUAGAGAAAUCCUAGGCAGAAACAUGAAUUUGGGUACAACUCAAGAGGUUUAUUUGACUGAAAUUGUUGAAACGGCUGUGACAAAAUGGGGUUCAAGUGGCUCCAGCUCAGGCUGCGCAUCUCGCUGUUUCCAGGCAGCUAAGGAGGGCAGGCAAAGCAGAGCUGGUAACGGGGAGCCUUGCUCAGGGCUUCCUCAGCAGAGAGUGGCACUGAACCGGGUGAGAAAAGUCUUGGAAAAGAGCUCAAGUGCUAGUAAAUCUUCCAGGGAAGGCCUGAAGGCCAUGACUUCUUUACCUACCCAAAUACAUCCAAGAGACGGACUUUUUGAAUCAGUGCUUAUCUUUGGGUGAGUGAGGCUGUCAGGACCGGGUGCAUCAUCACCCUUGGGUGAGGUAGCACCAGGCCUCAAGGAUAUUGCCAGCAUCCCUGCCUGGUCAUGGAACAGGGGUUGUCCUGGAGGAAAAUGUAAUGUGCCACUGGCAAAGCACAUUCAGCAUCAGUGAGGUGGCAGCUGUAAAAUGCCCUCAGCAAACACCCGUCUCCAAACUUGACCAAGGAGAAGGCCUGAAAAAUGCACUUCCACUCUCAUACUGGUGUUUACUAAACCCUGAUUUGCCAGCUGCCUCCUUAUAGAGGGAGAAAAAUAUAACUGUGAGGUAACUACUAUCUGCAAGCAUGUAACACUUCGUUUUGUUUAUUGCUCGAGAAUCCCUCAAUAUAUUUAGAGCCAAAAUUAGCACAACCGAGCAAAAUUCCAGCUGAAACAUAUUAACUGGUGAUUCAGGAUUUCUUUAGUGUGCAGCCUAUGCGUAUAAACCUGGUUUGCUCCCAUUGUAAAGAGAAAUGAAAUCACGCUGCAAAUAGCAAUUUUAGAGAGAAUCAUUAAUCAC
This 1041-nucleotide long non-coding RNA is filed under the name Strigops habroptila (Kakapo). Its description in RNAcentral is "lncRNA (ENSSHBG00005008205.1)". The record is from RNAcentral. Lineage: Eukaryota; Metazoa; Chordata; Aves; Psittaciformes; Psittacidae.